Equus caballus (horse) is the source of this 1893-nucleotide long non-coding RNA. The record is from Ensembl. NCBI's taxonomy places the organism in Eukaryota, Metazoa, Chordata, Mammalia, Perissodactyla, Equidae.
CUGACGUCCCACCUUUCACACAACACGGCUCACUUGGGCGCAGAGUUACGGGGGAGGGGGGGCAACCUCUCUGAGGGGCCGUGAAAAAAGGAUGACACUCUCUCUCUCUCUCUCUCCAUAUAUAUAUAUAUAUUUGUUGUUGUUGUUGUUGUUUGGUGAGGAGGCUUGGCUAACAUCUAUGCCAAUCUUCCUCCAUUUCGCAUGUGGGACGCCCGCCUAGGAUCCGAACUCACGAACCCCGGACGCCUAAGCGGCGCCGGUGAACUUAAACACUACGCCGCGAGGCCGGCCCCUUCUUUAUGUUAUGAAGCAGGACAAGCAUAGACUACAAAGCGUUUAAAGAAGAUAUUCAGUGUUGGACGUGCACUAAAUUCCCAGACAAAGCCUUUUCAAAUACUGACCAGGGUAGACGUCCACAGUGAGACGUGACGACGGCGGGGCCCCGGCGGAUGCGACGAGGAGGAGCGGCCGCAUCACUGGUGAUAUCCUUCCCCAGACACAUAACCGAAUCUAGUCCUUAGGAUGGUGGUCGAGUGGUUAACGUUCGGCGCUCUCACCACCCCGCCCAGGUUCGCGUCCAGAUCAGGGAAGCACACCACCCAUCUGUCCCGGCUGCGUGUUGCUGAAAGCUGUGCCUCCGGGAUUUCAAAUACCAGCAGGGUCACCCAUGGUGGACAGGUUUCGGGGGAGCUUCCAGGCUACACAGACUAGAAGGACCUGGCCACCCCCUUCCAAAAAACCCUGUGAACAGCAGCGCAGCAUUGUCUGAUACAGCACUGGAAGAUGAGAGGAUGGCACAGAAGGACCGGGCAGGGGUCCGCUGUGCUGUACACAAGGUCACUAGGAGUCUGAGUUGACUUGAUGGCAUUAACAACAACAAAAAAUCUUUAGGAAGCAAUUAUUCUAUAAAAUAACUGGCAUGCAGUGUUCAAAGGCAUCUAAAUCAAGAAAAGAUUGAAGAAUGUUCCAGAUUAAAGGAGACUCAAGAGCCAGGAAAACUCAGGGCAGCGUGUGGUCCUGAACCAGAUCCUUCUGUCAUAAAGGACGUUAUUGGGACACUUGGCAUAGACAUGAACCGGGCCUGAGGAUCAGAUGUGGCAUCCGUCCCGUUAGUGUGGCUCUCCUGAUCUGGGGCGUUUGCGUUGUGGCCGUGCAGGGGAAUGGCCCAGGUGACGGAAAUUCGAAAAAAGCCUUCAACAGUGACGGGCAUCGUGUCACCAUUACUCUCUGAUGGUCCGGGGAAUAAAAGCUCCUUGUACUAUCUUUGUACCUUUUGCGUAGAUCUGAAACUGAGCCCAGAGGGUAAAAUGACUCCGCCGAGGUCACUCUGAGAAUCAGGGCCUCACUUGCUCCACGGCUCCUCCGUCUCACCUCCCACUGCACUGCGCUCACCUUCCCAGCCUCGAAGAGGAUUCCUUGCUCAGAGCUGGCAGGCUCCCUCCAUCAGAGGAGCUCAGUUUCCCCAAGCAGGGAUGAAAUCAGAGACGAUGGACCCAUGACACACCAUUCUCAGCCUCCAGCGACCACCUGGGGCAUCUCUGAGAUUACAGAGAUUUUGAGAAGUGCGUCCCAGCAAGACGGUCCCCAGAGUGCGAGCUGUCCUCUGAGGGUCCUCGUGGCGGGGCAUCAGCACAACCAGGGUGUGCCCCCUCUGCUGCGUUUGGAAAUCACUUUGUCAUCAGCAUCCCAUGAAGGAAGCCUGGAGGGGAGGGGAGCGAGGGAAGGGCAGGGCCGCGCAGCUGCCACAGGGCUGGUGCAACUGGGGGCACAUGGUCCCUCCCGCACUCCCCUCCCCCUGUGGGCCUAAACGGAGGCUCUGUCCCCCCCGGCCCUGAAACUUUUGGUCUCAGGAUCCCUUUACACUCUGAAAAGGUAUUGAGGGCCCCGAAGAGC